AGAGUUUGAUCAUGGCUCAGGAUGAACGCUAGCGGCAGGCUUAAUACAUGCAAGUCGAGGGGCAGCAUGAAGUAGCAAUACUUUGAUGGCGACCGGCAAACGGGUGCGGAACACGUACACAACCUUCCUUUAAGUGGGGAAUAGCCCAGAGAAAUUUGGAUUAAUACCCCGUAACAUUGCGAUGUGGCAUCACAUUGCAAUUAUAGCUUCGGCGCUUAAUGAUGGGUGUGCGUAUGAUUAGAUAGUUGGCGAGGUAACGGCUCACCAAGUCUACGAUCAUUAGCUGAUGUGAGAGCAUGAUCAGCCACACGGGCACUGAGACACGGGCCCGACUCCUACGGGAGGCAGC
Molecule: ribosomal RNA, 349 nt
Filed under: uncultured bacterium
Lineage: Bacteria
Description: bacterial SSU rRNA
Rfam family: Bacterial small subunit ribosomal RNA
Source: RNAcentral